UACGUAGGUGGCAAGCGUUGUCCGGAUUUACUGGGUGUAAAGGGAGCGCAGGCGGGAAGGCAAGUCAGACGUGAAAUCUAUGGGCUCAACCCAUAGACUGCGUUUGAAACUGUUUUUCUUGAGUGAAGUAGAGGUAGGCGGAAUUCCGAGUGUAGCGGUGAAAUGCGUAGAUAUUCGGAGGAACACCAGUGGCGAAGGCGGCCUACUGGGCUUUUACUGACGCUGAGGCUCGAAAGUGUGGGGAGCAAAC
This 250-nucleotide ribosomal RNA is filed under the name uncultured bacterium. RNAcentral's name for it is "partial 16S ribosomal RNA". It matches the Rfam family "Bacterial small subunit ribosomal RNA", at positions 524 to 773 of the family's 1533-position model. The record is from RNAcentral.